UACGGGGGGAGCAAGCGUUGUUCGGAUUUACUGGGCGUAAAGGGCGCGUAGGCGGUCGUGACAAGGUCACUUGUGAAAUCUCCGGGCUUAAACUCGGAACGGUCAAGUGAUACUGUCGGACUAGAGUACAGAAGGGGCAACUGGAAUUCUCGGUGUAGGCGGUGAAAUGCGUAGAUAUUCGCAAGAACACCAGUGGCGAAGGCGGCUCACUGGCCCGAUACUGACGCUGAGGCACGAAAGCGUGGGGAGCAAACAGG
RNAcentral lists this ribosomal RNA (257 nucleotides) under uncultured bacterium. Its description in RNAcentral is "partial 16S ribosomal RNA". It matches the Rfam family "Bacterial small subunit ribosomal RNA", at positions 524 to 776 of the family's 1533-position model. The record is from RNAcentral.